This 25-nucleotide non-coding RNA is filed under the name Mus musculus (house mouse). Lineage: Eukaryota; Metazoa; Chordata; Mammalia; Rodentia; Muridae. The record is from RNAcentral.
UCAAGGCAGGGAGUACUAAAUCUGA